UAGUGGUUGGGCCAGACUAGCGGUUAAGAGCGUUAGGCCAGUAACUGAAAAGUCACUGAUUCGAAUCCCUGAGCUGACUAGGUGAAAAAUCUGUCGAUGUGCCCGUUGAGCAAAGCGCUUACAUUCUCCUGUAAGUCGCUCUGGAUAAGCGUCUGCUAAAUGAUUAAAAUGUCAAACUUCAGGAGCAGCUUCCUCCUACAGUAACUGAGGACAUUCCGGAACCUACAGACUCAGAAGAAGCUGCAUGCUCGAAUGGGAAGGGACAACACUGCGAGCACAACCAGUGAAUACCUGAACUUCAUGAGGGAGACCGAGGCCUCAUACCUGGAAACACUUCAGGCCAGCGUCAGCAGCAGGAUCAGCACUUCAAUCAACUGUGUGAAGAUGAGGCAGCAGCCAGAG
This is a long non-coding RNA of Coregonus clupeaformis (lake whitefish), 402 nucleotides long. RefSeq lists it as uncharacterized. The record is from RefSeq and is a predicted model, not a curated record. NCBI's taxonomy places the organism in Eukaryota, Metazoa, Chordata, Actinopteri, Salmoniformes, Salmonidae. The transcript is spliced from 3 exons.